RNAcentral lists this ribosomal RNA (244 nucleotides) under uncultured bacterium. Its description in RNAcentral is "partial 16S ribosomal RNA". It matches the Rfam family "Bacterial small subunit ribosomal RNA", at positions 111 to 353 of the family's 1533-position model. The record is from RNAcentral.
UAAUGUCUGGGAAACUGCCUGAUGGAGGGGGGAGUAACUACUGGAAACGGUAGCUAAUACCGCAUAACGUCGCAAGACCAAAGAGGGGGGACCUUCGGGCCUCCUGCCAUCGGAUGUGCCCAGAUGGGAUUAGCUAGUAGGUGGGGUAACGGCUCACCUAGGCGACGAUCCCUAGCUGGUCUGAGAGGAUGACCAGCCACACUGGAACUGAGACACGGUCCAGACUCCUACGGGAGGCAGCAUG